AUCGAACAACCCAUUAGUUUUAACAAAAUGUCUUGUCUGAUUAUAGGGCAUCUUUUUAAUUUCAUUUUUCCAAUUUUUGAAUUGAUCUAUUUGUUUUGAGGGCAUCAACUGCUGGAGCUGGGUAAAGUCUCUUAUCUCCUGGGUUCGAUCCCAUUCUUGCAUCAAUAAUCAGCCAAUAUUUUAUCUAAUCAAGUUCUUUAAAAAUCUUGUUUCUGACGGUUUUGAAUUGCUUGAUAUAUAUCAAACACAUUUGAUGGUUCUGAUAUAUUAUCCAAUUAUAUGGUCCAUCAGACUGACAUAGCUAUCA
Molecule: long non-coding RNA, 307 nt
Filed under: Phoenix dactylifera (date palm)
Lineage: Eukaryota; Viridiplantae; Streptophyta; Magnoliopsida; Arecales; Arecaceae
Description: long non-coding RNA (PDAC_LNC007047)
Source: RNAcentral